GCCCUUUUCCGGUUGAUCCUGCCGGAGGACAUUGCUAUUGGGAUUCGAUUUAGCCAUGCUAGUCGGACGAGUUCAGACUCGUGGCGAAUAGCUCAGUAACACGUGGCCAAGCUACCCUUCAGACCGUGAUACCCUCGGGAAACUGAGGUCAAUAACGGAUACGGUAUCCAUGUUGGAAGACAGGAUACUCCAAACGCUUUCCGCGCUGAAGGAUGCGGCUGCGGCCGAUUAGGUAGACGGUGGGGUAACGGCCCACCGUGCCAAUAAUUGGUACGGGUCAUGAGAGUGAGAGCCCGGAGACGGAAUCUGAGACAAGACUCCGGGCCCUACGGGGCGCAGCAGGCGCGAAACCUUUACACUGCACGCACGUGCGAUAGGGGAAUCCCAAGUGCGAGGGCAUACUAGCCCUCGCUUUUGUGUACCCUAAGGCGGUACACGAAUAAGAGCUGGGCAAGACCGGUGCCAGCCGCCGCGGUAAUACCGGCAGCUCGAGUGAUGUCCAAUUUUAUUGGGCCUAAAGCGUCCGUAGCUGGCCAGCCAAGUUCGUCGGGAAAUCCACCUGCCCAACAGGUGGGCGUCCGGCGAAAACUGUCUGGCUUGGAACC
RNAcentral lists this ribosomal RNA (605 nucleotides) under uncultured archaeon. Its description in RNAcentral is "bacterial SSU rRNA". It matches the Rfam family "Archaeal small subunit ribosomal RNA", at positions 1 to 600 of the family's 1478-position model. The record is from RNAcentral.